This 373-nucleotide ribosomal RNA is filed under the name uncultured eukaryote. RNAcentral's name for it is "partial 18S ribosomal RNA". It matches the Rfam family "Eukaryotic small subunit ribosomal RNA", at positions 592 to 976 of the family's 1831-position model. The record is from RNAcentral.
CAAUAGCGUAUAUUAAAGUUGUUGCAGUUAAAAAGCUCGUAGUUGAAUUUUUGCUUGCCGCCGAUGUCGGAACUUCCGUACGUUCGGCGGCGUGCAUCCUUGGGUGGAACCUGUGUGGCAUUAGGUUGUCGUGCAGGGGAUGCUCAUCGUUUACUGUGAAAAAAUUAGAGUGUUCAAAGCAGGCUUACGCCGUUGAAUAUAUUAGCAUGGAAUAAUAAGAUAGGACCUUGGUACUAUUUUGUUGGUUUGCGCACCGAGGUAAUGAUUAACAGGGACAGUUGGGGGUAUUCGUAUUCCAUUGUCAGAGGUGAAAUUCUUGGAUUUCUGGAAGGCGAACUACUGCGAAAGCAUUUACCAAGGAUGUUUNCAUUAA